RNAcentral lists this ribosomal RNA (205 nucleotides) under uncultured bacterium. Its description in RNAcentral is "partial 16S ribosomal RNA". It matches the Rfam family "Bacterial small subunit ribosomal RNA", at positions 568 to 775 of the family's 1533-position model. The record is from RNAcentral.
UGCGUAGGCGGGUUGGCAAGUCGGGUGUGAAAUUCCAUAGCUUAACUAUGGACCUGCAUUCGAAACUGUUGAUCUUGAGUACUGGAGGGGUGAGUGGAAUUCUCGGUGUAGCGGUGAAAUGCGUAGAUAUCGAGAGGAACACCGUUGGCGAAGGCGGCUCACUGGACAGAUACUGACGCUGAGGACAAGGUCGGGGAGCGAAACA